RNAcentral lists this transfer RNA (82 nucleotides) under Yarrowia lipolytica. It matches the Rfam family "tRNA". From Rfam's summary of the family: Transfer RNA (tRNA) molecules are approximately 80 nucleotides in length. Their secondary structure includes four short double-helical elements and three loops (D, anti-codon, and T loops). The record is from Rfam by way of RNAcentral. Lineage: Eukaryota; Fungi; Ascomycota; Dipodascomycetes; Dipodascales. RNAcentral also lists the same sequence under 1 other name.
GCCUGGCUAGCUCAAUCGGUAGAGCGUGAGACUCUUAUUCAAAGCGAUCUCAAGGCUGUGGGUUCAAGCCCCACGUCGGGCU